UAACAAGGAUUCCCCUAGUAACUGAAGACUGAAAGAGCUCAAAUUUAAAAUCUGGCGGCUCAGGCCGUCCGAGUUGUAAUCUGGAGAAGAGUUUUCCGCGCCGGACCGUGUACAAGUCUCUUGGAAUGGAGCGUCAUAGAGGGUGAGAAUCCCGUCCAUGACACGGACCGCCGGUGCUAUGUGAUACACUCUCGAAGAGUCGAGUUGUUUGGGAAUGCAGCUCAAAACGGGUGGUAAAUUCCAUCUAAAGCUAAAUAUUGGCGAGAGACCGAUAGCGAACAAGUACCGUGAGGGAAAGAUGAAAAGCACUUUGGAAAGAGAGUUAAACAGUACGUGAAAUUGUUGAAAGGGAAACGCUUGAAGUCAGUCGCGUCUUGCGGAGCUCAGCCACACUCUUAUUUUGUGGGGCGUAUUCUCUGUGAGACGGGUCAACGUCAAUUUUGAGCGGUGGAGAAGAGCUUGAGGAACGUAGCGUCGUUUCGGCGACGUGUUAUAGCCUCAGGUUGUAUGCACCGGUUGGGAUUGAGGACCGCAGCACGCCCUUGUUGGCCGGGGAUUCGUCCCACGUUCAUGUGCUUAGGAUGUUGGCAUAAUGGCUUUAAGCGACCCGUCUUGAAACACGGACCAAGGAGUCUAACAUGCCUGCAAGUGUUCGGGUGGAAAACCCUUGCGCGUAAUGAAAGUAAAAGUUGGGAUCCUCCGAGAGGGGGUGCACCGACGCCCGGCCCUGAAGUUCUCUGACGGUGCUGCGGUAGAGCAUGUAUGUUGGGACCCGAAAGAUGGUGAACUAUGCCUGAAUAGGGUGAAGCCAGAGGAAACUCUGGUGGAGGCUCGUAGCGAUUCUGACGUGCAAAUCGAUCGUCAAAUUUGGG
RNAcentral lists this ribosomal RNA (872 nucleotides) under Hymenochaete cervinoidea. RNAcentral describes it as "eukaryotic LSU rRNA". It matches the Rfam family "Eukaryotic large subunit ribosomal RNA", at positions 66 to 915 of the family's 3401-position model. The record is from RNAcentral. Lineage: Eukaryota; Fungi; Basidiomycota; Agaricomycetes; Hymenochaetales; Hymenochaetaceae.